UGGCCUCACCCUUCCCUUCUGCUACCUACAAAAGCCCCCUGACAUAGCACUCUUGUCAUACUGAGACUAAGGUAGAAAAAGACACUUCCAAAGGGUGUCAAUGACAAGAGAGAAAUAGACAUAGAGUGGUCACUUCAUUUACCAACCCUGGAACCGCAGACCUCUGGGCUUCCUGGGGCCGCAGUGACUGUGUCCAGUCCUUCCUCACCCCGCUGCAGAGUCAGUCCAGGAGGCCUUUACCCACAGCACUGCCACCUCCCUCCACGACCCCUGUCUUUCUCUUCCCCAGAUUAAACGCUCCCACUUCUCUCCAUUCUUCUUUCUCCACCCCCAGGCCCAUUUCUGCCUCGGUUGCCUGCCUCCAACCACAAUCCAGUUUUUUGGCUCCCAGAGACAGACAUGCCCAGAUCUGAACACCACCCACCUGGAUAAAGAAAAUGGGUACGGCCAAGACCAUAGACCUAGUGAUUGUCAGAUGAACAAUUAGACCCACAGAACCAUCCAAGCUACAGAGGACGCAUUCUGCCUUCCCUUGGAUCCUGUGGUUUGAGGAUGGAGGUCUAGGACCGUGGCAGGCUUUUUGUCCCAUGAGGGAAGGCCAUGGAGCUGAGGAAGGGGAAGAACACACACACCUAAUGGAAUCUCGAGAGAAAGUUCAGACAUCAAAAGACAGAAGCGACAGAGACCCAGGUCUGUGGGGACGCUGUAUGGCUGAGUCAAGUCUUGAUCAAAGUCAGCAUUAUAUCUGGACUUGCACAGUUUCUGAGCCUUGAAACUCCAUUUCGUUUAAGUGAGCUUUUAACUGUCACAGGCAGCUGCAUGCACACACAAGUCCAUGUGAUUAGAUGUUUCCAAGAGUCUGGAAUAACAUACCCCAAACUGUUAAUAGUGGUUACCCUAUAGAAGGGGAGUAGGAAGGUGUGUGUUGGGGUGGAGGAUGGUUUGCCAACUGGAAACUCACUCCAGGCUAACAUUUAUUGCUAGGCACCAUUCUAAACUUUGCCAGUAAUCCUCUCCCUAGAGGCUGAGGAAGACCACUUCUUCAAGCCCUAUUUAAUAGACAGCGUGGCCAGGCAUGGUUGCUCACGCCUGUAAUCCCACCACUUUGGG
Molecule: long non-coding RNA, 1110 nt
Filed under: Homo sapiens (human)
Lineage: Eukaryota; Metazoa; Chordata; Mammalia; Primates; Hominidae
Description: HSALNT0378084
Source: RNAcentral